UACGUAGGGUGCGAGCGUUAAUCGGAAUUACUGGGCGUAAAGGGUGCGCAGGCGGUUUUGUAAGCCAGAUGUGAAAUCCCCGGGCUCAACCUGGGAAUGGCAUUUGGGACUGCAAGGCUAGAGUGUGGCAGAGGAGACUGGAAUUCCCGGUGUAGCAGUGAAAUGCGUAGAUAUCGGGAGGAACACCGGUGGCGAAGGCGGCAUCCUGGACCGACACUGACACUGAGGAGCGAAAGCCAGGGGAGCAAACGGG
Molecule: ribosomal RNA, 253 nt
Filed under: uncultured bacterium
Lineage: Bacteria
Description: partial 16S ribosomal RNA
Rfam family: Bacterial small subunit ribosomal RNA
Source: RNAcentral